Molecule: ribosomal RNA, 257 nt
Filed under: uncultured Ehrlichia sp.
Lineage: Bacteria; Pseudomonadati; Pseudomonadota; Alphaproteobacteria; Rickettsiales; Anaplasmataceae
Description: partial 16S ribosomal RNA
Rfam family: Bacterial small subunit ribosomal RNA
Source: RNAcentral
UACGGAGGGGGCAAGCGUUGUUCGGAAUUAUUGGGCGUAAAGGGCACGUAGGUGGACUAGUAAGUUAAAAGUGAAAUACCAAAGCUCAACUUUGGAGCUGCUUUUAAUACUGCUAGACUAGAGGUCGAAAGAGGAUAGCGGAAUUCCUAGUGUAGAGGUGAAAUUCGUAGAUAUUAGGAGGAACACCAGUGGCGAAGGCGGCUGUCUGGUUCGAUACUGACACUGAGGUGCGAAAGCGUGGGGAGCAAACAGGAUUA